GGAGGGGUGGCAGAGCGGUUGAAUGCGGCGGCCUUGAAAGCCGUUGGAGGCCUUUUCGGUCUCUCGUGGGUUCGAAUCCCACCCCCUCCG
This 90-nucleotide transfer RNA is filed under the name Actinomycetota bacterium. RNAcentral's name for it is "tRNA-Ser". It matches the Rfam family "tRNA". Rfam says of the family: Transfer RNA (tRNA) molecules are approximately 80 nucleotides in length. Lineage: Bacteria; Bacillati; Actinomycetota. The record is from RNAcentral.